Populus trichocarpa (black cottonwood) is the source of this 148-nucleotide non-coding RNA. Lineage: Eukaryota; Viridiplantae; Streptophyta; Magnoliopsida; Malpighiales; Salicaceae. The record is from Rfam.
UCUAGAACUCGAGAUAUGGGCUGAACACUGAACAGUGUCUGGGUUGCAGGACAUAUUCUGACUUCUCUGUUAUUGCCAAGAUUUGGACUUCCAGACAGGAGAAUUGAGUCUUGGACUCCUUGUAACAUCCCCAUAUCCAAGAUAAAGC